This 490-nucleotide ribosomal RNA is filed under the name uncultured bacterium. RNAcentral describes it as "partial 16S ribosomal RNA". It matches the Rfam family "Bacterial small subunit ribosomal RNA", at positions 28 to 507 of the family's 1533-position model. The record is from RNAcentral.
GAUGAACGCUAGCUACAGGCUUAACACAUGCAAGUCGCGGGGCAGCAUGGGGGUUGCUUGCAAUCCCCGAUGGCGACCGGCGCACGGGUGAGUAACGCGUAUUCAACCUGCCCUUCACCACGGGAUAACCCGGCGAAAGUCGGACUAAUACCGUAUGUUGUCCAUUGACGGCAUCCGAUUUGGACGAAAGGCUUGGCGGUGAGGGAUGGGGAUGCGUCCGAUUAGCCAGACGGCGGGGUAACGGCCCACCGUGGCUACGAUCGGUAGGGGUUCUGAGAGGAAGGUCCCCCACACUGGAACUGAGACACGGUCCAGACUCCUACGGGAGGCAGCAGUGAGGAAUAUUGGUCAAUGGGCGUAAGCCUGAACCAGCCAAGUAGCGUGCAGGAUGACGGCCCUAUGGGUUGUAAACUGCUUUUAUGCGGGGAUAAAGUGGCCCACGUGUGGGCUUUUGCAGGUACCGCAUGAAUAAGGACCGGCUAACUCCGUG